Pelobates cultripes (western spadefoot toad) is the source of this 727-nucleotide non-coding RNA. The record is from the annotation of a GenBank genome assembly. Lineage: Eukaryota; Metazoa; Chordata; Amphibia; Anura; Pelobatidae.
ACGCAUUACAGCCGGUGGGGCUGGGAUUUUGUUUGUUUAUUACUGUGCUCCCAUUAGUACCUGUGUUAUACUGGGACCAGCCUGGUGGGUGAAGGCUGAGGAUUGCUAUACUUCGAUUAUUUGGCACCGGUGUCAUUAACAUGUACAUGGCCAUUUUACUCUCUGUCAUUCUGUGGUUUUUUGUUUAAUUGUUGUUACAGUGUGGGUACCCUUGGUGUGUGUGUGUGUGUAUGUAUAUAGUGUGGCUAGUUCUGGAUUCUGGGGUUUACACUCAUCUCUAUGUUUGUGAUUUUUGCAAAUGUCUUCUUGUUAGUGUAACCACUUUCAUCUUUUCAUUUGUCCUUUAUCUCUCCUGUGUUUGUUGCCCAGAGCUGUGUUAGUCACCCACGCUCGCCCCCUCCGGUCUGUGGCCACCUCCCCCGGGUGCACAGACCAUCGUGACUAGUCAGUCGAGCACUGUAGACUUUCCUACUUCUUCUUCCCUCUCACUUGGUCUCCUUUACUUGGCAGACCUCGCUUGGUCAAAAAGGGGCAAGCACAUACUAGACCAGCUAAGGGGUAUUUGGCUUGUGAUAUUGUUAAAGAGAGGGCAGGGGAAGAAGCUAUGCUGAAAAUGAAAAAGUUAGCAAAGAUUUCUGGUUUCCAAACGUAUAAAUCUCUGUCCUUCUGUCUUGUUACUUUACGGAGCUCACAUGGUUAAUCUUCAUGCCUGCAGUUUCUCUCUCUC